AUUGAACGCUGGCGGCAGGCCUAACACAUGCAAGUCGAACGAGUGGCGGACGGGUGAGUCAUGUCUGGGAAACUGCCCGAUGGAGGGGGAUAACUACUGGAAACGGUGGCUAAUACCGCAUACCCUCAGAUUUUCCCAGAUGGGAUUAGCUAGUGGGUGGGGUAACGGCUCACCAAGGCCACGAACCGUAGCUGGUCGGAGAGUAUGCCGAGCCACACUGGAACUGAGACACGGUCCAGACUCCUACGGGAGGCAGCAGUGGGGAAUAUUGCACAAUGGGCGCAAGCCUGAUGCAGCCAUGCCGCGUGUAUGAAGAAGGCCUUCGGGUUGUAAAGUACUUUCAGCGGGGAGGCGUUACCCGCAGAAGAAGCACCGGCUAACUCCGUGCCAGCAGCCGCGGUAAUUC
RNAcentral lists this ribosomal RNA (406 nucleotides) under uncultured bacterium. RNAcentral's name for it is "partial 16S ribosomal RNA". It matches the Rfam family "Bacterial small subunit ribosomal RNA", at positions 30 to 526 of the family's 1533-position model. The record is from RNAcentral.